Molecule: ribosomal RNA, 333 nt
Filed under: uncultured eukaryote
Lineage: Eukaryota
Description: partial 18S ribosomal RNA
Rfam family: Eukaryotic small subunit ribosomal RNA
Source: RNAcentral
CCCUUAGAUGUUCUGGGCCGCACGCGCGCUACACUGAUGCAUUCAACGAGUCUAAAACCUGGUCUGAUAGGGCUGGGUAAUCUUUUGAAAGUGCAUCGUGAUUGGGAUAGAUGAUUGCAAUUCUUCAUCUUCAACGAGGAAUGCCUAGUAAACGCAAGUCAUCAGCUUGCAUUGAUUACGUCCCUGCCCUUUGUACACACCGCCCGUCGCUACUACCGAUUGAAUGGUUUAGUGAGAUCUUCGGAUUGGCGCCUACGCGGCUUCUCUGAGGCCACGCUGGAUGCCGAAAAGUUGCUCAAACUGUAUCAUUUAGAGGAAGUAAAAGUCGUAACA